This 238-nucleotide unclassified non-coding RNA is filed under the name uncultured fungus. RNAcentral describes it as "partial contains 5.8S ribosomal RNA, internal transcribed spacer 2, and large subunit ribosomal RNA". The stretch from base 1 to 52 matches the Rfam family "5.8S ribosomal RNA", at positions 103 to 154 of the family's 154-position model. The record is from RNAcentral. Lineage: Eukaryota; Fungi.
AACGCACAUUGCGCCCCUUGGUAUUCCGAGGGGCAUGCCUGUUCGAGCGUCAUUAUAACCACUCAAGCCUCGGCUUGGUCUUGGGGCCUUCGCGGUCUCGCGUCCCUAAAAUCAGUGGCGGCGCCGCCUGGCCCUCAGCGUAGUACAGCUCUCGCUCCAGGGUCCGGCGGCAGCCUGCCAGAACCCCCCAACUCUUGUGGUUGACCUCGGAUCAGGUAGGGAUACCCGCUGAACUUAA